RNAcentral lists this ribosomal RNA (492 nucleotides) under Deloyala guttata. RNAcentral describes it as "partial 12S small subunit ribosomal RNA". Lineage: Eukaryota; Metazoa; Arthropoda; Insecta; Coleoptera; Chrysomelidae. The record is from RNAcentral.
ACUAAUAGUGUAAUAAAAUUUUUUGGUUUGGAUUAGUUGAUAAAAAAUGUUAAUAAUGUUAUUUUUUGGUGAAAUGAAAAUAAUAUAUAUAUAUAUUAAUUAUAAUGAAGUCUAUAAAUUGAUUUUAAAACUAGGAUUAGAUACCCUAUUAUAAAAACUUAAGUUUAAUUCCCUAUGAUUAAUAGUUAUUUUCUUUAAAGUAAAAAAAAUUUGGCGGUAUUUUAAUCUAUUUAGAGGAACCUGUCCCAUAAUUGAUAAUCCACGUUUUUAAAAACUUAAUUUUUAAAUUUAUAUAUCGUUGUUUAAAAUAUUCUAUAAGGUUAUAUUUUACAAAUUCUUUAUUUAGAAAUUAGUUCAGAUCAAGGUGUAGUUAAUAGUUAAGAGGAGGUGGGUUACAAUAGUAUAAACUGAGAAAGCUAUUUUUUAAUAUUAGCUGAAUAUGGAUUUAAAAGUAAAUUUUAAUAAAUUUUAAUUUUGACUAAGCUCUAAAAU